ACCGGGACUGUUUUCAUCAAUCCAUUUUUUGAUCUUAGGAAGAUACUUGUUCUUUUGACGAAGAAAGUCACGCUCACUCAUGUUGACGAGGUAAAUAACAGGUUUAGCAGUAAGCAAAUACAAGCUGUUAAUUAUUUCAACCUCACGAUUAGACCAAUCACCCUUACGGAUAGGUUGCUUGGUCUCGGUUAAGUACUGGUAAACUUUUUCAAUUAUAGCUUGCUCUUCUUUUUUGGCUUUCAUUUCCAAGGUAUUGGCACCACGAGAAGUAAUUUUACGAAGGCCUUCGAGAUGCUUUUCUACAAAUUCGGCAUCCUUGAUCAAGAGCUCAUCAACAAUAAUGGACAAGUCACGAAUAGGAUCGACAUCACCUUCAACAUGAAUAAUUUCGGCAUCAUCAAAGGCACGAACAACCUGAUAAAUGGCAUCAACAGCACGAACAUGAGACAAAAAUGCGUUUCCUAAACCCACACCAGUACUAGCACCUUUGGUAAGACCAGCAAUAUCGAAAACGGUAAGGAAAGCAGGAACUCUACUUUUAGGCUUGUAAGCCUCACAAAGCCAGUCGAAACGUUCAUCAGGAACGGCGACCUUUGCCUCUUCAGGAUCAAUAGUAGCGUAGGGAUAGUUAGCAGGGUUACCCAAAACAGACUUGGUGAUGGCACGGAAGAAAGUGGACUUUCCAACAUUGGGCAUACCGACGAUACCAGUCUUUAAGUUGUUACCAGGGCGACCCCAUUGGACUUUGACAACUUCUUGCUGUUUUUUGGGAGGCAUGAUUAACAAUUAAAAUGAACAAGAGAGUAUUGGAACCACAGGUGAAUUAGCAGUAUCUGAACAAGAUCAAUAAAUUCAAAAUUGCUAAAUCAAGACAAACAAAAAAAAGUUGAAGUUACUCUAAAGCAGUUCUGGUUAGCAACAGGUACUUGAUGGAACAUUAAGGGAUCUUUUAGGAAUUCAUGUAAGGUAAACAAAAACAAUACACUCUCAGACUUCUUCUACACUUCCAAAUUAUAUAUAUCACUUUA
Schizosaccharomyces pombe (fission yeast) is the source of this 1028-nucleotide non-coding RNA. The record is from the annotation of a GenBank genome assembly. NCBI's taxonomy places the organism in Eukaryota, Fungi, Ascomycota, Schizosaccharomycetes, Schizosaccharomycetales, Schizosaccharomycetaceae.